UGAUACAAUCAAAUUGUAAGUCUAUUUAACUUAUUUGAGUCGUGAACCGAUUAUAUCAUCGUGUCUAUUUAUAUGCAAUAUAAAAGAACCUGAUAAGUUUUAUCAGGUUCUUUUUUGA
RNAcentral lists this small RNA (118 nucleotides) under Paenibacillus antarcticus. Its description in RNAcentral is "Bacillus sRNA ncr1015". It matches the Rfam family "Bacillus sRNA ncr1015". Lineage: Bacteria; Bacillati; Bacillota; Bacilli; Caryophanales; Paenibacillaceae. The record is from Rfam by way of RNAcentral.